This 629-nucleotide ribosomal RNA is filed under the name Limnobacter sp. KP1-40. Its description in RNAcentral is "bacterial SSU rRNA". It matches the Rfam family "Bacterial small subunit ribosomal RNA", at positions 115 to 740 of the family's 1533-position model. Lineage: Bacteria; Pseudomonadati; Pseudomonadota; Betaproteobacteria; Burkholderiales; Burkholderiaceae. The record is from RNAcentral.
ACAUCGGAACGUGCCCAGUAAUGGGGGAUAGCCCGGCGAAAGCCGGAUUAAUACCGCAUACGCCCUGAGGGGGAAAGUGGGGGACCGCAAGGCCUCACGUUAUUGGAGCGGCCGAUGGCUGAUUAGCUAGUUGGUGGGGUAAAGGCCUACCAAGGCGACGAUCAGUAGCUGGUCUGAGAGGACGAUCAGCCACACUGGGACUGAGACACGGCCCAGACUCCUACGGGAGGCAGCAGUGGGGAAUUUUGGACAAUGGGCGAAAGCCUGAUCCAGCAAUGCCGCGUGUGCGAAGAAGGCCUUCGGGUUGUAAAGCACUUUUGUUCGGGAAGAAAACGUCUGUGUUAAUACCACGGGCGGAUGACGGUACCGGAAGAAUAAGCACCGGCUAACUACGUGCCAGCAGCCGCGGUAAUACGUAGGGUGCGAGCGUUAAUCGGAAUUACUGGGCGUAAAGCGUGCGCAGGCGGCCAUGUAAGACAGGUGUGAAAUCCCCGAGCUUAACUUGGGAAUUGCAUUUGUGACUGCAUGGCUAGAGUGUGUCAGAGGGAGGUGGAAUUCCACGUGUAGCAGUGAAAUGCGUAGAUAUGUGGAGGAACACCAAUGGCGAAGGCAGCCUCCUGGGAUAACAC